RNAcentral lists this ribosomal RNA (1580 nucleotides) under Limosilactobacillus fermentum. RNAcentral describes it as "bacterial SSU rRNA". It matches the Rfam family "Bacterial small subunit ribosomal RNA". The record is from RNAcentral. Lineage: Bacteria; Bacillati; Bacillota; Bacilli; Lactobacillales; Lactobacillaceae.
UUUAUAUGAGAGUUUGAUCCUGGCUCAGGAUGAACGCCGGCGGUGUGCCUAAUACAUGCAAGUCGAACGCGUUGGCCCAAUUGAUUGAUGGUGCUUGCACCUGAUUGAUUUUGGUYGCCARCGAGUGGCGGACGGGUGAGUAACACGUAGGUAACCUGCCCAGAAGCGGGGGACAACAUUUGGAAACAGAUGCUAAUACCGCAUAACARCGUUGUUCGCAUGAACAACGCUUAAAAGAUGGCUUCUCGCUAUCACUUCUGGAUGGACCUGCGGUGCAUUAGCUUGUUGGUGGGGUAACGGCCUACCAAGGCGAUGAUGCAUAGCCGAGUUGAGAGACUGAUCGGCCACAAUGGGACUGAGACACGGCCCAUACUCCUACGGGAGGCAGCAGUAGGGAAUCUUCCACAAUGGGCGCAAGCCUGAUGGAGCAACACCGCGUGAGUGAAGAAGGGUUUCGGCUCGUAAAGCUCUGUUGUUAAAGAAGAACACGUAUGAGAGUAACUGUUCAUACGUUGACGGUAUUUAACCAGAAAGUCACGGCUAACUACGUGCCAGCAGCCGCGGUAAUACGUAGGUGGCAAGCGUUAUCCGGAUUUAUUGGGCGUAAAGAGAGUGCAGGCGGUUUUCUAAGUCUGAUGUGAAAGCCUUCGGCUUAACCGGAGAAGUGCAUCGGAAACUGGAUAACUUGAGUGCAGAAGAGGGUAGUGGAACUCCAUGUGUAGCGGUGGAAUGCGUAGAUAUAUGGAAGAACACCAGUGGCGAAGGCGGCUACCUGGUCUGCAACUGACGCUGAGACUCGAAAGCAUGGGUAGCGAACAGGAUUAGAUACCCUGGUAGUCCAUGCCGUAAACGAUGAGUGCUAGGUGUUGGAGGGUUUCCGCCCUUCAGUGCCGGAGCUAACGCAUUAAGCACUCCGCCUGGGGAGUACGACCGCAAGGUUGAAACUCAAAGGAAUUGACGGGGGCCCGCACAAGCGGUGGAGCAUGUGGUUUAAUUCGAAGCUACGCGAAGAACCUUACCAGGUCUUGACAUCUUGCGCCAACCCUAGAGAUAGGGCGUUUCCUUCGGGAACGCAAUGACAGGUGGUGCAUGGUCGUCGUCAGCUCGUGUCGUGAGAUGUUGGGUUAAGUCCCGCAACGAGCGCAACCCUUGUUACUAGUUGCCAGCAUUAAGUUGGGCACUCUAGUGAGACUGCCGGUGACAAACCGGAGGAAGGUGGGGACGACGUCAGAUCAUCAUGCCCCUUAUGACCUGGGCUACACACGUGCUACAAUGGACGGUACAACGAGUCGCGAACUCGCGAGGGCAAGCAAAUCUCUUAAAACCGUUCUCAGUUCGGACUGCAGGCUGCAACUCGCCUGCACGAAGUCGGAAUCGCUAGUAAUCGCGGAUCAGCAUGCCGCGGUGAAUACGUUCCCGGGCCUUGUACACACCGCCCGUCACACCAUGAGAGUUUGUAACACCCAAAGUCGGUGGGGUAACCUUUUAGGAGCCAGCCGCCUAAGGUGGGACAGAUGAUUAGGGUGAAGUCGUAACAAGGUAGCCGUAGGAGAACCUGCGGCUGGAUCACCUCCUUUCUA